Molecule: ribosomal RNA, 468 nt
Filed under: uncultured bacterium
Lineage: Bacteria
Description: bacterial SSU rRNA
Rfam family: Bacterial small subunit ribosomal RNA
Source: RNAcentral
ACUCCUACGGGAGGCAGCAGUGGGGAAUAUUGCACAAUGGGCGCAAGCCUGAUGCAGCCAUGCCGCGUGUGUGAAGAAGGCCUUCGGGUUGUAAAGCACUUUCAGUCGUGAGGAAGGUGGUAGUGUUAAUAGCACUGUCAUUUGACGUUAGCGACAGAAGAAGCACCGGCUAACUCCGUGCCAGCAGCCGCGGUAAUACGGAGGUGCGAGCGUUAAUCGGAAUUACUGGGCGUAAAGCGCAUGCAGGUGGUUGUUAAGUCAGAUGUGAAAGCCCGGGGCUCAACCUCGGAAUUGCAUUUGAAACUGGCAGACUAGAGUACUGUAGAGGGGGUAGAAUUUCAGGUGUAGCGGUGAAAUGCGUAGAGAUCUGAAGGAUACCGGUGGCGAAGGCGGCCCCUGGACAGAUACUGACACUCAGAUGCGAAAGCGUGGGAGCAAACAGGAUUAGAUACCCCUGGUAGCGACUGA